Molecule: ribosomal RNA, 468 nt
Filed under: uncultured bacterium
Lineage: Bacteria
Description: partial 16S ribosomal RNA
Rfam family: Bacterial small subunit ribosomal RNA
Source: RNAcentral
GACGAACGCUGGCGGCGUGCUUAACACAUGCAAGUCGAACGGAAAGGCCCUGCUUUUGUGGGGUGCUCGAGUGGCGAACGGGUGAGUAACACGUGAGUAACCUGCCCUUGACUUUGGGAUAACUUCAGGAAACUGGGGCUAAUACCGGAUAGGAGCUCCUGCUGCAUGGUGGGGGUUGGAAAGUUUCGGCGGUUGGGGAUGGACUCGCGGCUUAUCAGCUUGUUGGUGGGGUAGUGGCUUACCAAGGCUUUGACGGGUAGCCGGCCUGAGAGGGUGACCGGCCACAUUGGGACUGAGAUACGGCCCAGACUCCUACGGGAGGCAGCAGUGGGGAAUAUUGCACAAUGGGUGGAAGCCUGAUGCAGCAACGCCGCGUGCGGGAUGACGGCCUUCGGGUUGUAAACCGCUUUCGCCUGUGACAAAGCGUGAGUGACGGUAAUGGGUAAAGAAGCACCGGCUAACUACGUG